CACGGGGGGAGCAAGCGUUGUUCGGAAUCACUGGGCGUAAAGGGCGUGUAGGCGGUCAGGUAAGUGGGAUGUGAAAUGCCUCGGCUCACCCGAGGACCUGCAUCCCAAACUGCUUGGCUUGAGUAUGGGAGAGGAUGAGGGAAUUCCUGGUGUAGCGGUGAAAUGCGUAGAUAUCAGGAGGAACACCGGUGGCGAAGGCGACUCGCUGGACUGAUACUGACGCUGAGGUGCGAAAGCGUGGGGAGCGAACAGG
RNAcentral lists this ribosomal RNA (253 nucleotides) under uncultured bacterium. Its description in RNAcentral is "partial 16S ribosomal RNA". It matches the Rfam family "Bacterial small subunit ribosomal RNA", at positions 524 to 776 of the family's 1533-position model. The record is from RNAcentral.